CGAGAUAACUAGCGUUAAGGAACUCGGCAAAAUGCACACGUAACUUCGGGAGAAGUGUGGCCUUCUUUGGUUUAGCAAUAGGUUAGAGAAGGUUGCAGAGAGCAGGCCCAAGCGACUGUUUACCAAAAACACAGGUCUCUGCGAACGCGCAAGCGGACGUAUAGGGACUGACGCCUGCCCGGUGCUGGAAGGUUAAGAGGAGGAGUCAGCAGCAAUGCGAAGCCCUGAAUCGAAGCCCCAGUAAACGGCGGCCGUAACUAUAACGGUCCUAAGGUAGCGAAAUUCCUUGUCGGGUAAGUUCCGACCCGCACGAAUGGUGGAACGAUUUGGGCACUGUCUCAACGCUCGACUCGGUGAAAUUUAUAUACCGGUAAAGAAGCCGGUUACCUGUGGUUAGACGGGAAGACCCCGUGAACCUUUACUGCAACUUAUCAUUGGGACUUGACUUGACAUGUGUAGAAUAGGUGGGAGGCUUUGAAGCAUGGCCGCUAGGUUGUGUGGAGCCGUCGGUGAAAUACCACUCUUGUUAAGUUAGGUUUCUAACCCGUUCUGUCAAUCCAGGAUGGGGACAGUGUUAGGCGGGCGGUUUGACUGGGGCGGUCGCCUCCUAAACGGUAACGGAGGUGCGCGAAGGUCGCCUUACGCUGGUUGGAAAUCAGCGCACAAGUGUAAAGGCACAAGGCGGCUUGACUGCGAGUCCGACAGGACGAGCAGGUACGAAAGUAGGUCUUAGUGAUCUGGCGGUAGCGAGUGGAAACGCCGUCACUUAACGGAUAAAAGGUACUCUGGGGAUAACAGGCUGAUCUUGCCCAAGAGUUCACAUCGACGGCAAGGUUUGGCACCUCGAUGUCGGCUCAUCGCAUCCUGGGGCUGGAGCAGGUCCCAAGGGUUUGGCUGUUCGCCAAUUAAAGCGGUACGUGAGCUGGGUUCUGAACGUCGUGAGACAGUUCGGUCCCUAUCUGCCACGGGCGUUGGAUGGUUGAGAGGAGCUGCCUUUAGUACGAGAGGACCGAGGUGGACGUACCUCUGGUGUACCGGUUAUCGUGCCAACGGUAUGUGCCGGGUAGCCAAGUACGGAAGGGAUAACCGCUGAAAGCAUCUAAGUGGGAAGCCCACCUCAAGAUAAACCAUCCCUGAGGGUUCGACCCUCCUGAAGGCACCAGGGAGAAUACCUGGUUGAUAGGCUGCAGGUGUACGUACGGUAACGUACUCAGCCGAGCAGUACUAAUCUGCCGUGAGGCUUGACCAU
RNAcentral lists this ribosomal RNA (1249 nucleotides) under metagenome. Its description in RNAcentral is "bacterial LSU rRNA". It matches the Rfam family "Bacterial large subunit ribosomal RNA", at positions 1691 to 2925 of the family's 2925-position model. The record is from RNAcentral.